GAUGAACGCUGGCGGCGUGCCUAAUACAUGCAAGUCGAGCGAACGGACGAGAAGCUUGCUUCUCUGAUGUUAGCGGCGGACGGGUGAGUAACACGUGGAUAACCUACCUAUAAGACUGGGAUAACUUCGGGAAACCGUAGCUAAUACCGGAUAAUAUUUUGAACCGCAUGGUUCAAAAGUGAAAGACGGUCUUGCUGUCACUUAUAGAUGGAUCCGCGCUGCAUUAGCUAGUUGGUAAGGUAACGGCUUACCAAGGCAACGAUGCAUAGCCGACCUGAGAGGGUGAUCGGCCACACUGGAGCUGAGACACGGUCCAGACUCCUACGGGAGGCAGCAGUAGGGAAUCUUCCGCAAUGGGCGAAAGCCUGACGGAGCAACGCCGCGUGAGUGAUGAAGGUCUUCGGAUCGUAAAACUCUGUUAUUAGGGAAGAACAUAUGUGUAAGUAACUGUGCACAUCUUGACGGUACCUAAUCAGAAAGCCACGGCUAGCUACGUG
Molecule: ribosomal RNA, 497 nt
Filed under: uncultured bacterium
Lineage: Bacteria
Description: partial 16S ribosomal RNA
Rfam family: Bacterial small subunit ribosomal RNA
Source: RNAcentral